GUGCAUGCAAGGGAUCUAUCUUGCUCUGUCCUUAGGAGAAUCUAAUGCCUGAUGAACUGUCAUUGUCUCCCAUCACCCCCAGAUGGGACCAUCUAGUUGCAGGAAAAGAAGGUCAAGACUCCCACUCAUUCUACAUUAUGCCUCAGCCAAGAUGUCUCACCCUACUCUCUAUGAUGCAACAAGAAGCCCCUGGGGAAUGUUUCAGUCCCAGUCUGUACUAUUGUCAUGUGCUCAUCACAGUCUGGUGGAAUUUAAAUGACCUUUUAUCAAGAUGGAUAAACGCAAGUUUCCCAGUGCUGGAAUACAGAAAAUGGAUGGACAAGUAAGUCCCACUCAGCACCCAUAGCCCAGACAUGGGGACCUCAACACACCUGGGCCCCAGACAUCACCUUUCAUUCUGGAUCUACCAUGAAAGACUUCAGAGUCCAGGAAGAGAGACUGACUGGGCAACAUGUUAUUCAGUUACAAAAAGACUUGGACUAUGACUCAAAAAUGAUCAAAUAAUAGUUCAUGCAUCAAAUGCAAUAGGAAGUACUUCUGGAGGGUGAGAGAAGCAUCCAGUUAAGGUGACAUUGAAGCUGGGUCCUGAAAGAUGAGGAAGAAUUGUAUGAGAGUGGGCAGAGAAGGGGGAGGUGGAGGGAUGGGGAAUGGGCUGGGAUGGAGUGAGCUGCUCAAGUAGGGAGACCAGCACUGUAAAGACCUGGACGAUAAAGACGGCACAUUUUAUUCAGGGAAUGGUGAAUUAAGUGUGGCAGGAAUGCUUUGGAGAGAUAGUAAUUUGCUUGUAUGGAAUUUUGCCCAAGAGGCCUCAUUACAGUUUCUAAUCUUUUGAUGUUAUCAUCUAUCACUGUCCUUGCCAAAUAGUUUGGAAUAGGUAUAAUGAUCACAAUAACAUCAAGCAUAAUAUUUCAUUAAUUCUCACAAAAUCACAGGUAGGUGCCACAGUUAUCCCCAUUUUGUGAAUGAAGUGAUGAAGACUUAGGAAUAAUGAGUGAUUUGCCCAAGCUCACCUGGAUAUUAAGACUGAGUCAAAUGUGGGGUCUGGUCUGACUUUAAUGUUUGCUUUGUUCAUGAGCACCACGUAUUGCCUCUCCUAUGCAGUUAAGCAGGUAGACAGGUGAAAGAAAAGCCCAUGUUAGUCUCUACUCACACACUUCCGACUGAAUGUGUGUGUGGAAUUUCUACACCAAGUUCUCCAAUGCUCUGGAUAUUAACUGGGUAUCCUACAAUUUUAUUCUGACACUUCCUGGAGUUGGC
RNAcentral lists this long non-coding RNA (1257 nucleotides) under Homo sapiens (human). Its description in RNAcentral is "non-protein coding LINC00174:2". Lineage: Eukaryota; Metazoa; Chordata; Mammalia; Primates; Hominidae. The record is from RNAcentral.